AUGGAAAGGGAAAGUCUUCCCAGCCACCAAUCAAGCCACUACAGAGCAGGGCGUGGCGCGGCGCGGGAGCUGCGGGUAGGGAGCCGGGAUUCCCAGCCUGGCCUCCUAAUGGGGAAAAUUUGGAAACGUCGUGGCGAGCUCAGAGCAGGAGGCAGAGGCCCUCGAGCUAUAGCAACAGAAAGAAGGAAGGCCCCUCCACAACCUGUACAGAAGUUCUGGUUCUUUCUGGAAUAUGCACUAACUCUCACCAUUCCUAAUGGCUCCAGCCACUCUGGAUGGCUCAGUUCAGGAGAAAAUAAAUUAUGUUACAGCAUAAAGUUUGAGUUGGGGGAAGAGUUCAAAAUCACAUCUUAACUGAUAAGUUGUCCAUCCAGAAAUGCAGAAGUAUUUAUUGUGUGUCAGCGAUAAAGCCAGUACAAUGCUAAGCAAAACAAGUCUUCAGAAAAGUUCAGGGUAGAGGGGGGAAUAAUUAGAAAUAACUAGAAAAAAGUAAGACCAAAAACAGAAGGACUGAAUAGAAGGAUUCACCAAAAGCACAACAGAGUUUGAAAGAAGGCAGAGCUACGGGAAAAAAAUGGCGUAUUCAUUCAAUCGUUCCUUCAAAACAUAUUAUUGAUGACAUUGACUAAUAAGCUACACACUCUGCCAGGUGUGUGAAUGCCUUCGAAUGGGCUCUGUCUUACUAACAUGUACAUAAAUAAACCUAUAAUUGCACAUUGGUCUAUGUGUGAUGAACAGGAGCAGGGCACAGUAACAGAGACCAAGGAGGGAGAAGGGGGCUGGAAAGGGAGGGCAUCUCCAAGAUGGUGCAGGAGAAGGGAGAGCGUCCCAGCUGGGCAAACAGCAUGUGCAAAGAUUCUGAAGCAGAGAAGAGCUCAGUGAGAGGGAAGAGCUUAAAGGAGACAAAGGGAGGAGAGAGCCUGCAGGGAUGGGCCCUGGAAGAGUUCCACGGGAAUGUUACCAGUCUCCUCUACCCAGUGUCUGCGAACGGUCCCUUUCCAGUCAACCUUUAUGAGGUAAGGUGUAUACAAGAGGAAUUUCAGAUUAAGUGAGAGAGAUAAGGAACAUCAGAAAAUGAACAACUUGGGAUAAACAAUAACAAGAGGACCAAAUGGAAGCAACCUGAAAGCCAUCUCUCUAGAGGCUUCCAAUGAGUCCUACUGACAAUGAGGAAAAACCCCAGAUCCUCAGCACCAAUGGGGCAGUGGUUCUGAAACUUUACCUGCAUCAUAGUCACCUGAACAGUUUGUUAAAACAGAGAGCAGUCAGGGGUGUACCCCCCUCCAAGAUAUUCUGAUUCAGGGGGUCAGGGUGGGGCCCAGAAUUGCAUUUUUAACAAGUUCCCGGAUAGGCUGAUGCAACUGGUCCAUGGGCUACACUUUGAGAACCUCUGGUACAAGUCAUUUGGGGACCUACAUUUCCAUGUACUCCAAAUCCCAGCCUAAAUGAAGGAACAGAUCUCUUGCUUAUUGUAGAAGAAUGAUCAGAACCCAGUGUUCUGUCUUGAACCAGCAUGCACAGACUGAUGUCUCUUCUGUGUCUGGUGAUUUCGUGCAUGAUCUCAUUUUAUCGGUACCCAACGCUCUGCACAGCAGGUGCUAUCAUCCAUGUUUUACACAUGAGAUAAAGAGACAAGGUAAGAUUAGGCGAAUUUCCAGAGAUCACGCAAUACACAAGUGACAGACUCGGGAUUUGAGCCUGUGUUCAGAGCGGAGCUGUGUUGCUUCCCAAGCAGGCAGCUCUUCCUCUCCUUCCUCCCGGAGAGAUGCCUGUCCGUCCUCCAGGCCUCACCGCACCACUAGAAAGCACCAUGUGGCCUGCCCCUACUACCAUUAGUGAUGAAUCUAGGUGGUCUCCGUUGACUCCUGGGGGCUGCUAGCGUUUUGACCUUGUUACUAAGUUCUUUGCUUUCCGUAUAGGAAGGAGCAAGAUCUAUGAACUAGACACGUGACAGACCAGAGGUCGUUUUCCAUCUGUGGCACUCAGUACGGAGUUGUAAGUAUUCUAAAACACAAGCUGAGCAGUCAGAUGGGCCUGGGACCAACCUCCCCUCUGUCACUUAUUGGUUACAUGACUGGUUAUGUGACCUGACUUUAUUAAAGUUCAGUUUUUCUUCUUUUAAUAAUUAGUAAUUACAAGUAGCAUCCACCUUAAGGUGUUGUGAGAAAUGCAUGAGUCAGUUUCAUGUAAAGUAUGAAGCUCUUCGCGUGGUGCUUAGCAAGCAACAAACACUCUGUAAUUAUUAGCUAUUAUUACUACCCUGUUAUGCAUUUUCUUUCAAAAUAUGGUCAUUGUAAGAGGAGAUUUAAUUGUUGCUGUGCUAGAUACACGGUUUCUUUUUGUUUACAUUUCUCGAGUGUGGGACUAUUUCAUUGGUAGAUCCAGGAAAUAUGAGCGACUGCAUCGUGAUUUGAGCUCCUCCUCUCCCCAAUUAAGAAAAAACAUCCCCAUAUACCCUUAUAGACAAAACAGAGGGAAAACGGAUUUGAUAUUUUGGGUAAAUUUAAAAUAUUAAGAAACCAUUGCCAAUGAGUAUGGAUUGGUGGAGUGACAGUAACUUGGACGGGAGUCUGAGAUCAAGGGGUCUGAUGAUCCCACUAUGCCCAGUAUUGGUCAAGCUGUGUGUGAGGCCACGUGCUCAGUUCUUGAAGGCAGGUUAAAGGGAAAUCUUCCUCCCCUAGAGAGCACUCUGCAGGUGUGAAGCAGGAUGGAAUGGAGAAAGCAGAACGUGUUAAGAAAGGUCCAUUUGUGUGGACAAGAUUAAGAUAGAAUUCGAUAGCUAUCUUCAAAUAUUUUGGUAGCUUUCAGAAAGAAAGGAAGAACAGACUCAUUCUCUAUUUGCCAUACAACACUCUAGAGCAUUGUUUUUUAAAUGGUAGUUGGCAACCCAUUAGUAGAAAUCAAUGCAACAGGCUAAGGAGCAUUUUAAAUAAGUAAAAGAGAACAUAAUGGAAAAUACCAGAUGCAGCCAAUCUAAUAAGGAUAAUUACUAUCCCAUAUACCUUCUGUCUUAGUUAUAUUUAUGUUAAAAUUUGUAUGCAUAUGUCUCAAUGUAAAAUGUAUCCUGAUGUUGGGUCACAGAAGAAAAAAUGUUGAAAGCUCUAGAAGACAAAACACAGACCACUGGGUGCAAGAAACAGGAAGUCGAGUUUUCAUUGCCUUGCUACAAAGAAACUGUUAUAAUAAUGGUCCCUGCUUAGCAACACCAGGCUUACUCAGGCGGGAGGAACCCGCCCAACAUAUACAUCACCCCUCCUGUGAUGCUCUAGCACAGGCUGAGUGCUGACGCCCAACAGGAGGAGGGCACUGAGUGUCCACCCCUAGGAGGACACGGAGAUGUUCUGACUCCCCAAAAGAGAAAAGAUCAGACCUGAGAGUCUGGUUAUAAGAGAGAAUAGAGAAAAUUAAAGCCUAAAUAUCCAGACUCCAGAAGCCAUGUGGCCUAUGCAGGAAGAGUUGCUCUGAGUUGAUAGGUUACACACAGGGAGCAUGGGUCAAAUCCCUGAUGUUGUUUAGGAUUCCUACUCUUGGACGGAUUAGUUUCCCACCUCCUUUUCUAAUUGAGGUGAUAAA
RNAcentral lists this long non-coding RNA (3573 nucleotides) under Mustela putorius furo (domestic ferret). RNAcentral describes it as "lncRNA (ENSMPUG00000025907.1)". The record is from RNAcentral. Lineage: Eukaryota; Metazoa; Chordata; Mammalia; Carnivora; Mustelidae.